This 458-nucleotide ribosomal RNA is filed under the name uncultured bacterium. RNAcentral describes it as "partial 16S ribosomal RNA". It matches the Rfam family "Bacterial small subunit ribosomal RNA", at positions 338 to 795 of the family's 1533-position model. The record is from RNAcentral.
CCUACGGGUGGCAGCAGUGGGGAAUAUUGCACAAUGGGGGAAACCCUGAUGCAGCGACGCCGCGUGAGUGAAGAAGUAAUUCGUUACGUAAAGCUCUAUCAGCAGGGAAGAAAUACUGACCUUACGGUCAGCAGACGGUACCUGAGUAAGAAGCCCCGGCUAACUACGUGCCAGCAGCCGCGGUAAUCCGUAGGGGGCAAGCGUUAUCCGGAUUUACUGGGUGUAAAGGGAGCGUAGACGGUGCGCCAAGUCUGGAGUGAAAUGCCGCAGCUUAACUGCGGAACUGCAUUGGAAACUGGCGAACUAGAGUGCGGGAGGGGUAAGCGGAAUUCCUAGUGUAGCGGUGAAAUGCGUAGAUAUUAGGAGGAACACCGGUGGCGAAGGCGGCUUACUGGACCGUAACUGACGUUGAGGCUCGAAAGUGUGGGGAGCAAACAGGAUUAGAUACCCUAGUAGUC